GAUGAAGAACGUAGCGAAAUGCGAUAAGUAAUGUGAAUUGCAGAAUUCAGUGAAUCAUCGAAUCUUUGAACGCACCUUGCGCCCUUUGGCCAUUCCGAAGGGCAUGCCUGUUUGAGUAUCAUGAACACCUCAACUCUUUAUGGUUUUCCAUGAUGAGCUUGGACUCUGGGGGUUUUGCUGGCUCACAGUCGGCUCCUCUAAAAUGAAUCAGCUUACCAGUGUUUGGUGGGUAUCAUGGGUGUGAUAACUAUCUACGCUUGUGGUUUUUCCACCAGGUAACCUUCAGCAGUGGAGGUUCGCUGGAGCUCAUAGAUGUCUCUCCUCGGUGAGGACAGCCCUUUGAAUGUUUGAUCUCAAAUCAGGUAGGACUACCCGCUGAACUUAAGCAUAUCAAUAAGCGGAGGA
This 405-nucleotide unclassified non-coding RNA is filed under the name soil metagenome. Its description in RNAcentral is "partial contains 5.8S ribosomal RNA, internal transcribed spacer 2, and large subunit ribosomal RNA". The stretch from base 1 to 121 matches the Rfam family "5.8S ribosomal RNA", at positions 35 to 154 of the family's 154-position model. The record is from RNAcentral.